Molecule: ribosomal RNA, 389 nt
Filed under: Listeria monocytogenes
Lineage: Bacteria; Bacillati; Bacillota; Bacilli; Caryophanales; Listeriaceae
Description: partial 23S ribosomal RNA
Rfam family: Bacterial large subunit ribosomal RNA
Source: RNAcentral
ACAAGUAGUUAGAGCCCGUUAAUGGGUGAUAGCGUGCCUUUUGUAGAAUGAACCGGCGAGUUACGAUUUGUUGCAAGGUUAAGCGGAAAAAGCGGAGCCGUAGCGAAAGCGAGUCUGAAUAGGGCGCAUAAGUAACAGGUCGUAGACCCGAAACCAGGUGAUCUACCCAUGUCCAGGAUGAAGGUAAGGUAAUACUUACUGGAGGUCCGAACCCACGCACGUUGAAAAGUGCGGGGAUGAGGUGUGGGUAGCGGAGAAAUUCCAAUCGAACUUGGAGAUAGCUGGUUCUCUCCGAAAUAGCUUUAGGGCUAGCCUCGAGGUAAAGAGUCAUGGAGGUAGAGCACUGUUUGGACUAGGGGCCCUUCUCGGGUUACCGAAUUCAGAUAAAC